RNAcentral lists this ribosomal RNA (253 nucleotides) under uncultured bacterium. RNAcentral's name for it is "partial 16S ribosomal RNA". It matches the Rfam family "Bacterial small subunit ribosomal RNA", at positions 524 to 776 of the family's 1533-position model. The record is from RNAcentral.
UACGUAGGCAGCGAGCGUUGUUCGGAGUUACUGGGCGUAAAGGGUGCGCAGGCGGUGGAGCAAGUCUGAUGUGAAAUCUCCCGGCUUAACCGGGAGGGUGCGUUAGAAACUGUUCUGCUGGAGUGAGGGAGAGGCAAGCGGAAUUCCUGGUGUAGCGGUGAAAUGCGUAGAUAUCAGGAAGAACACCAAUGGCGAAGGCAGCUCUCUGGGACGGUACUGACGCUGAGACGCGAAAGCGUGGGGAGCGAACAGG